CUCAGUAACACGUGGAUAACCUGCCCUUAGGACUGGCAUAACCCCGGGAAACUGGGGAUAAUUCCGGAUAGUUCAUGGUAGCUGGAAUGCUCCAUGAUCGAAAGCUAUUGCGCCUAAGGAUGGGUCUGCGGUCUAUCAGGUAGUAGUGGGUGUAAUGUACCUACUAGCCGACGACGGAUACGGGUUGUGGGAGCAAGAGCCCGGAGAUGGAUUCUGAGACAUGAAUCCAGGCCCUACGGGGCGCAGCAGGCGCGAAAACUUUACAAUGCGGGAAACCGCGAUAAGGGGACACCGAGUGCCAGCAUCUUAUGUUGGCUGUCCGCAUGUAUAAAUCACAUGUGUUAGCAAGGGCCGGGCAAGACCGGUGCCAGCCGCCGCGGUAACACCGGCGGCCCGAGUGGUGGCCACUAUUAUUGGGUCUAAAGGGUCCGUAGCCGGUUUGGUCAGUCUUCCGGGAAAUCUGACGGC
Molecule: ribosomal RNA, 468 nt
Filed under: uncultured archaeon
Lineage: Archaea
Description: bacterial SSU rRNA
Rfam family: Archaeal small subunit ribosomal RNA
Source: RNAcentral